RNAcentral lists this long non-coding RNA (440 nucleotides) under Malus domestica (apple). RNAcentral's name for it is "long non-coding RNA (MDOM_LNC007266)". Lineage: Eukaryota; Viridiplantae; Streptophyta; Magnoliopsida; Rosales; Rosaceae. The record is from RNAcentral.
UUUGAUAUGUUAUGAAAGAGACGAUGAGGAACAACUUCAAUGAAGAAAGCAUGCUGAUCUGAACAAUCGAAAAUGGAGUUUCGAAGCUCACAACAAAUCUGACGGGUUGACAGAAAAAUAAUAACCAGUCAUUCAUCAUACCUGAAUUUCUUGAGUUAUACUGCUCCGAGGGAUCUCAAAUUUGGAUAUGUUGUAGUUCACAAGCUGAGGAACAACUUCAAUGAAGAAAGCAUGCUGAUCUGAGCAAGAGAAAAUAGAGUUUCAAAGCUCACAACAAAUCUGACGGGUUGACAGACAAAUGAUAAACAGUCACUCAUCAUACCUGGAUUUCUGGAGUUGUACUGCUCCGAGGGAUCUCAAAUUUGGAUAUGUUGUAGUUUGACAAGCUGAGGAACAACUUCAAUGAAGAAAGCAUGCUGAUCUGAGCAAGAGAAAAUAGA